This 66-nucleotide transfer RNA is filed under the name Matsumuraeses phaseoli. Its description in RNAcentral is "tRNA-Val". The record is from RNAcentral. Lineage: Eukaryota; Metazoa; Arthropoda; Insecta; Lepidoptera; Tortricidae.
CAAAUUAGAGCUUGAGAUUAAGCAUUUCAUUUACAUUGAAAAGAUAAUAUUAUUUAUUUAAUUUGA